Molecule: unclassified non-coding RNA, 200 nt
Filed under: soil metagenome
Description: partial contains internal transcribed spacer 2 and large subunit ribosomal RNA
Source: RNAcentral
UGCAACCCUCAAGCCCAGCUUGGUCUUGGGCGUCGUUUCCCCCCGGGCGCGCCUGGAAAUCAGCGGCGGUGCAGCCCGGCGAUCGAGCGUAGUAACUAAACUCCUCGCUUCGAUUUUUCGCCCGGACGUUCCGGCCGGACAACCCCUCAUUACCCCCAAUGAUUGACCUCGGAUCAGGUAGGGAUACCCGCUGAACUUAA